Non-coding RNA from Rattus norvegicus (Norway rat), 3496 nucleotides. The record is from RefSeq and is a predicted model, not a curated record. Lineage: Eukaryota; Metazoa; Chordata; Mammalia; Rodentia; Muridae.
GAUACUAAUAGAGGCAUAGAAGGUUUUAGGUCAAAGAUAAUUGCAUGUGCUACUGCGUAAAACAAAUCGAUUCCACCUUCCAGAAAGAGCGUGGUGAGAUGAAUCACAGUCCAUUUUGAGAAGCUAGGGAAAGUGGCCUGCCUACCAUGCAUACACAGUCCUGGGUUAAACCCACAAAACUCUUUAAAAUGACAAUGGUGGUCUAGCUUUAUGAUCGCAGUACUCAAGAGGGUGGAAGCAGGAGAUCAGAAGUUCAAGGUGAGGCUAGGAAGGUGGCUCAGAAGGUAAAGGUACUUGCCACCAAGACUGGCACCUUAAUUCAAUGCCAGGACCCACAUGGUGGAGAGAACUAACUCCUGAUAUCCACACAUACACCAUGGCAUGCUCAAGAGCGCGCGUGCACAUACACAUACACACACACACACACAAAAGAUAAGAUAAAUAAACUUAAAAAGUCCAAGGUCACUCUCAGCUAUGUAGAAGUUUGAGGCCAGCCCUAGGUACAGAGAUUGUCUAAAACCAAAACCAAAACGGACCACUGAGACUGCUCUUUGGAGAAGGGCCUCUCUUACUAAGCACAAUGACUUGAUUUCAAUCCCAUAGACUCACAGGGUAGGAAGAGACGUGAUUCCUAUUCAUGAUAGAAUGUUGACUGACUCAAUCUUGCCCAGGUUUCAUUCAGGCAACCACAGCUCCUGAGUUUAGAAAUGCAAAGGUCCUGCUCUACCCAAGAGACACUGCUUUGCUUCUGAUAUCUGGAUCUUACAAUCUUUUCACUCUUUCUUCUAUGAUGAUUCCUGAGCUGCCCUGUCCUGCAGGGCUGUCAUCGGAGGAGGUUGGGGACCACCUAGGAGAGAAUGGGGGACAAGAGACUUGAAGAAGGAUGCCAAGACAAAAGUCUGAUCAAGCACAAGAGAGUACUUUCCAGGACAAAGGCAGCUAGUUCACAAGGAGGAAGCUUCUAGGAUCCUAGCAGUCCACUCUAACAGCAAACACCAAAAAUGAAUUCUUAGCAGAGGCGUGACCUAACAGAAACAGAAGUCUCUGCCAAAUCGGCAUGAGCCAGCAGAGUCGUCCAGAAUCAGCCAGAAUACCAUGAGAAGUCCUUUGCUGAGUUUCUCUCUAAAAAGGGAAGACCAAUAAGGACCAGUGAAGACCAGCAAAGACCAGUGACGACCAGCGAAGCGUUGCACGGUGUAGCGGUGCAAGAGCAGCCUCUCAUUACCCGUGGGGUUCUACUUAUACUCUUUGUAAACAUCACACACUCUCUCAAGGGUCUGCUCUCAGCAAAACAUCAAGUGCCCUCUCACAAGACAGCUUCCAGAAACACAUUGCAUGACACAACUGAGUUUUAUAGAAACCAGAAACUUCCACUUCACAAAAUAGUGGGUUUCAAUAUGGCUCUCAGAUAACUCAGUGUUGGUUACCGUUUCCUCUUUGUUACCCUAUUCCCCUCCUCACCUAAGCCUCCCCUUACUUUCUUUAUAACCUGUGUCCUUCCAUCCCCUCUUCCAUAAUCUCUCUCCCUUUCCCGCUGCUCUUUUACUUCCUGUCUCCCACAGAAACUCCAAGUUAAACUCAGAGUUCUAAAGAUUUGACAGUGGAACUCACCUAUGAGAGAGAACAUGCUGUGUUUGUCUCUCUGGGCCUGGUCUACCUCAUGUGGUAUAAUUUUUCCCAGUUCUACCCAUUUAUCUGAACUUUUCAUAACUGGAUUUUUCUCUACAACUGAAUGGAAUUCCGUUGUAUAGAGAUACCAUCAUUUGUUAUACAGCCAUUAGUUGAUGGACAUCUAGGCCAUUUCUCUGUCCUAGUUAUUGUGAAUAGAGCAGCAGUGGACAUGAAUGAGCCCCUGUCUCCCUCAUAUAACAGAGUCCAUUAGGUAUAUGCCAGGAAGGGCAGAGUUGGGCCACCUGGCAAGUGCAUUUCUAGCUUCUUGAGGAGCCAUGCCAAUUCCCAUAGUGACUACAGCAGUUGGCACUCCCAAUAGUGAGUGAAUGCUUUCCCCACAUCCUCCCCAAACGCUUGUUUUCCUAGUCUUAGCUAUUCUGAUUGGGUCAAGAAGACAGCUCAAGACAGGUUUAGUUUGUAUUUCUCUGAUAGCUAGUGACUUUGAACACUAAUGUUUUGUAGUGGGCUGGAGAGGUGGCGAACGACAGUGAUGAAAACAUUUACUGUUCUUACAGAGGACUGAGUUCUCUUUCCAGCACCCACACUGGGUAGCUCACAGAUGCCUGGAACUCUAGCUCUGGGGAUCCAAUGCUCUCUUCUGGUCUCCAUGGAUACUUCACCCAUGUGUACAUACCCACACACAGAUCACACACACACACACACACACAGAGAGAGAGAGAGAACACACACAUACUGUUGAAAAUAGAAACAAAAUCUUAGAACCCUCCAUUCUUUAGCCAUUUACACUUCUCUGAGAACUCUCUGUUUAGUUUUACUUCCAUUUUUAAAUUGGGUUGAUAUAGUUGUGAGCUUUAGUUCUUGGUAUAUUCUGGACAGCAAUCCUGUCAGAUGCCCGGCUGGAAAUAACUGCUUCCCAUUCAGUAGGCUGUCUGCCUCUUCAGAUGCUUAAGUUUCCUUUGCAAUGAAUGAGGUUUUUUUUAACUUCAUAAGGUCCCACAGGUUGGCUGUUGGAACCAUUUCCUGCGUGAACACGGUCCUAUCCAGAAAGUUCUUACCUCGGCCUGUAUCCCAUAGUGUACACCCGAUGUCUUCCUCUAGACGUUUCAGAGUUCUGGGUUUAAUAUUGAGAUCCUAGAUCCACUUGGAAUUGAUGUACAUAUGUACAGAGUGAGAGAAGGGUCAAAUUUCAUUCAUCACAUGUAGAUAACCAGUUUGCCGACAUGGUGUGUUAAAGAUGCUACAUCCUCCCCUGGAUGUAUGGACUAUUUGGGUCCUUAAGUCUAUUCUAUCGAUCAGUGAAUCCAUUUGUGUGUGUGUGUGUGUGUGUGUGUGUGUGUGUGCGUGUGUGUGUGUGUGUGUGUUGUUUGUUUUCUGCCAGCACUGUACUGGUUCUGCUACCAUGGCUCUGUAGUAUAUUUCUGGUGGUGUUUUUAUUGUUCAGGAUUGUUUUGGCCAUACAGGGGUCUUUUAUGCUUCUGUAUUAAUUAAUUUUAAGAUUGUUUAUCCAAUUUUUGUGAAGAGUUGCAUUGGACUUUUGAUAGGAACUGCAUUUAAUCUGUAGAUUGCUUUUGGUAAAAUGACCGUGUCCACCACCUAAAGUUUACCAAUCGAUGUGCGCAGGAGGUCUCUUAGGUGUCUUCUUCAGUCUCUCCCUUAGCAUUUAAAAGAACAUGUGUGCAGGCAUUUCUGGGAGAGUGCAUGUGGAGACCAGUGGUCAGCUUUGGAUGUUGCUCCUCAAGAGCCAUACAUUUGCUCUUUGACACAGGCUCUCGAGCUAGCCUGGCUAGACUGCAGGCCAGCAAAACCUAGGAAAUGACCCGUGUCUGUCCCUACAGAGCUGGAAUUAAAGUCUGCCACAUCGCAA